This 301-nucleotide ribosomal RNA is filed under the name uncultured bacterium. RNAcentral describes it as "partial 16S ribosomal RNA". It matches the Rfam family "Bacterial small subunit ribosomal RNA", at positions 509 to 807 of the family's 1533-position model. The record is from RNAcentral.
CAGUAGCCGCGGGAAUACGAAGGGGGCUAGCGUUGUUCGGAAUUACUGGGCGUAAAGCGCACGUAGGCGGAUUGUUAAGUUAGGGGUGAAAUCCCAGGGCUCAACCCUGGAACUGCCUUUAAUACUGGCAAUCUAGAGUCCGAGAGAGGUGAGUGGAAUUCCGAGUGUAGAGGUGAAAUUCGUAGAUAUUCGGAGGAACACCAGUGGCGAAGGCGGCUCACUGGCUCGGUACUGACGCUGAGGUGCGAAAGCGUGGGGAGCAAACAGGAUUAGAUACCCGGGUAGUCCCUGUCUCUUAUAC